This 2112-nucleotide long non-coding RNA is filed under the name Homo sapiens (human). RNAcentral describes it as "long non-coding RNA NONHSAT209069.1". The record is from RNAcentral. Lineage: Eukaryota; Metazoa; Chordata; Mammalia; Primates; Hominidae.
GCAGCAGCGACUCUAAAGGCAGCCCCAGGCUGGCUAAAGCGGUUCCUGGUAUGGAAACCUAGGCCCGCGAGUGCCCGGGCCCAGCCCGGCCUAGUUCAGCCUUCAUCAAAGGCAUCCUGUUUCAUUUGUCACCAAUGUCAGUCUGGCACUUUCAGUUCACCUGGAGAGUGACCACUUCCACAUGGCCAUUGGCACAGGCCAAAUGUAAAGCAGUCGUGUUCAUCCACAGAUGAAGGAAUACAGAAACUCCAGGAUAUUUGCACAAUGGAAUACUCUUCAGCCAUCAAACUUUAGGACAUCACCCCACUUCCAGCAACGUGGAGAGAGACCUGUUCAUCCACAGAUGAAGGGAUACAGAAACUGUAGUAUUCAUUCACAAUGGAAUACCCUUCAGCUGUGCACAUAUACUGAAAUCAUAUCACCUGGAGCCACACAGUUGAACCUGUUCAUCCCUUGAUGAAGGGAUGACAAAACUGAAAUAUAUAUCCAGAAUGGAAUACCCUUCCACGACAGAAGUGGAUGAAAUCCUGUCAUUUGCAGCCAUGUGGAGAAACCUGUUCAUCCGCAGAUGAAGGGAUAAAGAAACUGUAGUAUAUAUACACAAAUGGAAUACUCUUCAUCCAGAAAAAUGUAAUGAAAUUACAUCAUUUGCAGCCACACUGUUGAACCUAGAGGACAUCAUGGUAAAUGACCUGUCCUGUCCACCCACAGCUGAAGGGAUAAAGAAACCACCAUACAGAUACACUAUGGAAUAUGCUUCAGCCAUAAAGCUUUGGGAAAUCCUGUCAUCCACAGCCAUGUGGAGAAACCCAAGAAACCCAGAGGAUAUUAGGUCCAAGGAAAUGAGCCUGGUAGAGGAAGUCCCACACCUUUUAAUCUCAGGCAUGGAGAUUCCAAAAACUUUAUCUCCUGUCCAUCUACAGAUGAAGGGAUCAAGAAACUGUAAUGUAUAUGCACAAAGAAUACUCUUUGGCCAUCAAAAUAACUAAACCAUGUCAUUUGGAGCAACAAAGCCACUGCGGCCUCCAUUUGGGCCAAGCUCUGACUGCAAUGAUGCCUCUGCCCCGACCCGGGCCUCGCUGUGACUGACAAUGCCGCUGCAUCUUUUCAGCAGUCAUUGAUGAGGAAGUAUCUACAUCCUCCUUCCCACUACCAGAUUUUGCUUGGAGAAAAGCAGUUUCCUGAAAUAAUUCUGUGACGAGCUUCUUCCACAUUAGGACAAAAAUGCUGGAAGCGGCUCAGCCCCAGGGCAGCACAUCAGAGACACCAUGGAACACAGCCAUUCCUCUGCCGUCGUGCUGGGACCAGUCUUUCCUGACCAAUAUCACCUUCUUGAAGGUUCUUCUCUGGUUGGUCCUGCUGGGACUGUUUGUGGAACUGGAAUUUGGCCUGGCAUAUUUUGUCCUGUCCUUGUUCUAUUGGAUGUACGUCGGGACACGAGGCCCUGAAGAGAAGAAAGAGGGAGAGAAGAGCGCCUACUCUGUGUUCAAUCCAGGCUGUGAAGCCAUCCAGGGCACCCUGACUGCAGAGCAGUUGGAGCGCGAGUUACAGUUGAGACCCCUGGCAGGGAGAUAGGACCCAGCUGUGCUGUCAUGCAGCUAACCUCUGAUGUGGUCUUCCUCACCAUUGGCUAUGGAUUUGAUUUCAGGUGUAUAGGACUAAGGGCAGCUUGCGGGUUAGCUCUGUGACUGCAUAGUUUUUCUACCUUCUUUCCCUGAUCUUUUGCUGCCAUUUGAUCUUUGAUAGUUUUGGUGAAACUCUCUAAAAUACAUUCACUGUGGGUCCGACGCAAUUUAUAAAAAUUAUGUACUCAAGAAGGGAGACCUGUUUGUUUCAUUUCUCAUCUGUUUGGGAGAUGAUUUUAGAGCACUAGAAAGGCACUGGGGAGAUUCUCAGCUUAAAACAUCCAGCAGUUUGAAGUAUGAUUAGGUACAUCAGGGCUGCAUUGUCAAUGUUCUCUUUAAGUCUUUUAACAUUUAUAGCAAUUUUUUUUUUCCCGGAGAGUUUAGGUUGCAAGUUUUGGGUUUCUUGUUUGUUUUUGUUUUGCUUCCUGCUUUAAUUCUUUAAUUUUCAGUCAUUACUGGUAUUGAAAAAUAAAAUAUCUUUAAAACA